GACGAACGCUGGCGGCGUGCCUAAUACAUGCAAGUCGAACGCUGAAGAGAGGAGCUUACUCUUCUUGGAUGAGUUGCGAACGGGUGAGUAACGCGUAGGUAACCUGCCUUGUAGCGGGGGAUAACUAUUGGAAACGAUAGCUAAUACCGCAUAACAAUGGAUGACACAUGUCAUUUAUUUGAAAGGGGCAAUUGCUCCACUACAAGAUGGACCUGCGUUGUAUUAGCUAGUAGGUGAGGUAAUGGCUCACCUAGGCGACGAUACAUAGCCGACCUGAGAGGGUGAUCGGCCACACUGGGACUGAGACACGGCCCAGACCCCUACGGGAGGCAGCAGUAGGGAAUCUUCGGCAAUGGGGGCAACCCUGACCGAGCAACGCCGCGUGAGUGAAGAAGGGUUUCGGAUCGUAAAGCUCUGUUGUAAGUCAAGAACGGGUGUGAGAGUGGAAAGUUCACACUGUGACGGUAGCUUACCAGAAAGGGACGGCUAACUACGUG
RNAcentral lists this ribosomal RNA (497 nucleotides) under uncultured bacterium. RNAcentral describes it as "partial 16S ribosomal RNA". It matches the Rfam family "Bacterial small subunit ribosomal RNA", at positions 28 to 507 of the family's 1533-position model. The record is from RNAcentral.